GCAGGAGGCACGCGCGCGGCUGAGGCGAGGUCGCUCGGCGCAGCUGUUGCGGGGCCAUGGCGGGGACCGCGCUCAAGAGGCUGAUGGCCGAGUACAAACAAUUAACACUGAAUCCUCCGGAAGGAAUUGUAGCAGGCCCCAUGAAUGAAGAGAACUUUUUUGAAUGGGAGGCAUUGAUCAUGGGCCCAGAAGACACCUGCUUUGAGUUUGGUGUUUUUCCUGCCAUCCUGAGUUUCCCACUUGAUUACCCGUUAAGUCCCCCAAAGAUGAGAUUUACCUGUGAGAUGUUUCAUCCCAACAUGUCACCCUAUGGGACCAACUCCUGGAGAAGGCAACACAGAAGUGGGAAACUUCCUGAUUUUGUGGAUGUGGAUCUUAGGUGGACAGCCUGAUGUCCAGGGCAAGUAUGCAUCUAGUUUCUUCCACUCUCCUUGAAUGAGAAGUUGUGGUUCAGUUCCUGGAUAGUAGAGCGUUCACCACUGAACGUUCACCACUGAAACAAUGGAUGAGUGGAAACACAUAGGACCAGGUAUGAAAGACAAGACUGUUUGAAGGUAAGUGAUCGCCAUUCACAUUUGUGAAUUUUCAUG
This 590-nucleotide long non-coding RNA is filed under the name Homo sapiens (human). RNAcentral's name for it is "non-protein coding lnc-SUMO3-1:2". The record is from RNAcentral. Lineage: Eukaryota; Metazoa; Chordata; Mammalia; Primates; Hominidae.